GCGGCUAUGGUGAAGUGGUAUCACAUUUGCUUCCCAAGCAAAGAUCACGGGUUCGAACCCCGUUAGCCGCU
This 71-nucleotide transfer RNA is filed under the name Anaerolineales bacterium. Its description in RNAcentral is "tRNA-Gly". It matches the Rfam family "tRNA". Rfam says of the family: Transfer RNA (tRNA) molecules are approximately 80 nucleotides in length. The record is from RNAcentral. Lineage: Bacteria; Bacillati; Chloroflexota; Anaerolineae; Anaerolineales.